GCGUGGUGUCUACACGUGCUAGUUUGCACACACACCACACUGGACACAUGAUCCACGUCAGUCAUCCACUGUGACUUCGGCGUUCCAGGGCAGGGGGAGAGGAAAGAGUCUGAGAAACUUGGAAGUUCUUUCCUGAGCUGGCAUUGCACCUUUGAAUGCUGGAAGAGCCAGUCUUCAGGGAGGAAGCUUCGAGCAUUUAACAUUUUGAGACAGGGCCUCUCACUGAACCUGGAGCUGCUGAUUUAACCAGACUGGCUGGCCAGCGAAUCCCAAAGACCCUCCUAAGUCCACUCCACAGAGCUGGGGUUGCUGCUACGUACUACUGUGCUGACUUUUUGGUGUGGAUUCUAUCUGAUCAAGCUCCAACCCACAUGCUUGUCUGCCACAUUUCUGUUUCUGUCUGUGACCUGUGGCCCAUCACUUGAAUGACCUUACCAACCAGGAUCAACCUUGGUACGCAUGGAAACUGUGACCUUGUGGAAGAUAACCUUUGGCAGGCGCUCGCUCUCCGGUUCUCCAGAGUCCAGUUUCACAUGGAGGCUGCAGGAAGCUGCUUCCCGCAGCCUGAGCCUUGAGGAGAAGCUGAUAAGACAAGGAGAACCACCUGGUAGCCGCGGCAGCACUUCAUCCAGGAUGAAAACAGGAUCUAAAAUAUAAACAACAUCCUCCCUCCAGAAGCCAGGGAUCAGCUCCCUCCCAAGUGUGUUUGACUCUGUUCUCCCAAGAGUCUCAUGAGAACCUUUACUGAGGCAGGAAGGUCAGUCAAGAUGAAGAAGCAGAGUUUUAAGGUUUCCGGUGGAAACCAUCAGAAAGCCUUUGUUUUGUUUUUAAAUUGUUAUUGUGGUUGAUGAUCUUUUAAGUUCAGAAGUAUGACCAAUAAUUGUUCGUUAUAGCCCUGAACUUGUUUUUAGAUGAGUAAAAAUGUAGACACCUCAAGUGUGACACCAUUGCUAAAGGAAAUGAUGCAGGUGGAUCAGAGGGACAAAGAAGCAAGGUUGCUGCUGAUCUCCUCUUUCCCAGGGCAUCUCUUCUGAAGUGGCUGCUAUUUUGUAACAGCAAAAUAGGACGUUUAUUUUGUUCAUUAUUUAUUGUUGGUAACUGAGCCAGCGUGUUUCUGCUCAUCAUAAGAAGCAGGGAACUUUUAUAGAAAGCAGCAAGGGCUCUCUCUCUCAGUCAGUCUCCAGUCAGUAUGUAAUGCCCCCAGGACUAGACUCCCACCAGGGUUGCUGAGGGCUGCAGCAGCUCUUACACAGACACUCAACCUAUCCCUGCUUUUCUUACUGUCAAAUGUUCAUUUUUCAUUUAUGUGUAUGGAUGUGCCUGUGUGCAUGCCCUCGGAGUCCAGAAGAGGUUGUUGGAUCCCCCGGAGCUGGAAUGAUUGUGAGCCACCUGCUGCGGGUGCUGGGACGUGAACUCGUGUUCUCUGGAAGAGUGGCCAGUGCUUAUAACCACUUAACCUUUUUUUUUUUCAACUCCCAAUUCUUGCUCUUAGAAAGAGAUUGUAUUAUGCCCACUCUCUUCCUUAAAGACCUUGUGACUGGGAAGAGUCAUGAUUCAUAUGUUAAUUUUUCUAUCAAGAUUAUCAAUGUCUCUCCAGUUGAAGAACCUCAAUGCAAACAGAGUUUCUUGCCCAUAGCCCCACGUUUUUAUUUUCUAUGCCGUUCAGUCAUUCAGGGAGAGACAGAUUUGCUGGCUUUGUUGAAAAUGCACUUGACUACUGGGACUAAUUUGAAAAAUUUCUAUCACUACCCAUUUCUCCUUUCACAAAGCAGAGAGAAAGAAUGAGAAAGAGAGCAAGGAGAGGAAGUGAGCCAGAGUUAGUUAAGUCAUGGUAUUAAUUUAUCCAGUCACAGAGCAAGUAUUGAUUGACUGUGUUUUAUGAAUAGGCAUCAUUCCAGUAACAAACACAAAGGGGAAAAGAUUGGGAAAAACCUCUUCCCUAUAGGAUCAUAUUCUCUAGAGUGGAAUCCAGUGAUCCGUAGUUCUAUUAUCAAUACUUAUAAAUUGAAAAUAUUACAAGAUAAUAAUGAAAAUAUCAUCAGUUAAAUUUUACUGGGUGGCAUACUAAGUACUUUACACGUAUUGACUGCUUAAGCUGCUAAAACAUUAUAUAAGUUUUAAGCUACAAAAGUUAAUGAGUCAUGAUUAUCCUCUCUUGGAGCUGUUGGCCUGUGAGGUCCCAGAGAUCUAACCAGCCCUCAAAGACUAUCGUCAUGGUAACCCAGUGAGAUGCAGCAAAACACAAAUUUCCUCCCCAUUUUAAUGAGAAAGAAACAGAGAAACCCAAGGCGCAGAGUGAUUUCAUGAACAGUAAGAGUGUGGGUGCUGGGAUUUCAAGCCAGGCCCUUUUUACCCCAAGAGUGGAUGCUGACACAAUAUGGGCAGCUCUCACUGACUUAAUCAUGUUUUCAACAUCAGCUUUAGAUCACGGUAGCCUGUAGCCCUGGGACUGCUUUCCCGGUGUGAAGGGAAGGCCUAGCGGAAGAGCAUCCUUUUGUGAUUAACCCCCACGACAAUGAAACAUGCAUCUUUGUCCUUGCUACCAGAAGCAACCUCAAGUACCGAUUUCCAGGGAAUGCCACAGAGAUUGACACCGAUGUCUGGUGUCACUGCACGGUUUCAUUAAUUCACGAACCCUGAUUUCCCCCGGGGCAGGCCAGUAUGCUGAACUCUGUCUACAAAAGUCCUCCUGUGACUUUCCUGUGGGCUGCAAUUGAUCCGCGCAAAGAGUUAAGGAACCUUCGCUGCCUGCAGGAAAUCUGCCGCUGAAUCCAGGGCCUGGCAGAGGAAGCAUUAAGUGUAUCAUGGGAGAGGAGGAAAGCAAAGUGCUAAAGUUGUUACUCUGAACAGAGGAUAUUGGAGCAUCCUGUAAAAAACUUCCUGUUUAGCCAGCAGACCAGAAAACAAGAUGAAAAAAACACCCCACUUCAAUGACUAUUGUGUCAAUAUAUUUUUAUACCGUCAUUAUCUUGGGCAGGACUUACUCACAAGAACUAGAUUCCCAGGGUGAGGAGUUCACAGCUGAAUCACAGCUUCCCGCCUUCCUUGUUUUGGAUGCUGCAUCCUAUCCUGGUAUCCCCUGUGUCAGGCUAUCCCUCAGCCGGCACUGUCAUUGCGCUCCCCCCUCCCCGCCACUCUGUGACUCUUGCUUUGGCUCACAUUAAACACCUCAUCACAUAGAGUCUGAUAACGCAUCUUAGAUAUUUGGGUUUUAACUCUUCUGCCCCUUCUAGGGUCGGGAGAUAAGGCACAGUCAUGCAGCAGAGACCAUAGAACACUUAGGGAUAGGUGACGCUCAGUUCUUGCCCGUGUGUUUCUUUACCAGAUACAUCCAAGUAGUACAGUUAGACGAAAUGCAAGGUGAAAAACAAGACUCUUAAAUGCCUUUAUUAUGAAUCUAGGGAUUAAUAAACUUCAGAUAUUUCAUCCAGCGUAUUUCAGGUGGUGGUGUGUUAUGAUGUGCAUAGCGCUGACACAGGAGUUACUCGGAGGAACAAGAUCUGUUUCUUUUUAAACUGAUCCUUGUUCAACAAUACCAGUCUGUGUUUGAUACUGUUACUGUUAGCUGCAUCCAAAACACAGUGAUUUGUUGUUUGGACAGGGCCUCACUCUGUAGCCCUGCUUGGCCUUUAACUCCUAGAGAUCUGCCUUCACAGUUCCAGAAUGAAAGGCAAGCAUCGUUAUCACCGGCUGAUUCAGUAUCGGGCUGAUUUGGUGGGUGUGCAUUCUUUAAGCCUGGUUGGAUCAUGGGAAAAUGUUCUUUCUCUGUCUACUGUGUCACUAUUGGGUACCGUCGUCUAGGUUGCCAUCUGUGGUCUUUAUAGAAAUCGAAGCUAUUGAUCCAGGCUCUUCAAAGUUUUCCUUGAGAAAUCAGACCUUGCUAUGUUGAGAUUUUCUUUGUAUACAACCUGUGGCUUUCCUACUGCAGUUUCAAUACUCUGUCUUUGUUCUUUAUGUUUAGUUUUAGAUAUAAGAUUCUUUUCUGGUUUUGUCUAUUUGGUAUUCUAUAUACUUCUCAUAUCUAUGAGGGUUUACUUUCCUUCAUUUUUUGUGGGGUGGGGUUCUUCUAUGACCCUGUUGAUGAUCUGGUCUAUGUCAUUGACUGAUUUUCUCUUCUUCAUAUGAUAUGAAGGCUUGUUCUUUUGAUGGAGACCACAAUUCCUCCAUGUUCCCAUUGUGUGUUUUUCAUGUGUGUGUUGAGUGGUCUAAUGCCUUCACUUCACUUUUCAGUCCUGAUAUUACAUCUUUGACUUAAUCCCUUCCCCUUGAAAGAUCUUCCCCUGAAUUUUCUAGUUGGGUUAUUGACUUUUUCAAUUUUAUCUUUACUUCAACUUAAGUUCUCUUCAGUAUUGAUAUUUUUAUUGAAUUUAGUUUUCAAAUCCUGAAUUAUUUCCAUCAUUUAUUUCAGCCAUAUGUCUAUGUUUUCUUAGGCAUCUCUCAGGCAUUUGUAAUUAUUCUCUUUAUGUUUAAUAAAUUAUUACUUCUUUAAACUUGAAUUCUUCAACAAAGGUUAUGAUUCUUUUAAAUUUUAUUUCCUGGUGU
Alexandromys fortis (reed vole) is the source of this 4542-nucleotide long non-coding RNA. RefSeq lists it as uncharacterized. The record is from RefSeq and is a predicted model, not a curated record. The transcript has 4 exons. Lineage: Eukaryota; Metazoa; Chordata; Mammalia; Rodentia; Cricetidae.